Molecule: ribosomal RNA, 497 nt
Filed under: uncultured bacterium
Lineage: Bacteria
Description: partial 16S ribosomal RNA
Rfam family: Bacterial small subunit ribosomal RNA
Source: RNAcentral
GAUGAACGCUGGCGGCGUGCCUAAUACAUGCAAGUCGAGCGAACAGACGAGGAGCUUCCUCCUCUUACUUUAGCGCCGCACGGGCGAGUAACACGUGGAUAUCCUACCUAUAAGACUGGCAUAACUUCGGGAAACCGGAGCUAAUACCGGAUAAUAUAUUUAACCGCAUGGUUCAUUAGUGAAAGACGGUUUUUCUGUCACUUAUAGAUGGAUCCGCGCCGCAUUAGCUAGUUGGUAAGGUAACGGCUUACCAAGGCAACGAUGCGUAGCCGACCUGAGAGGGGGAUCAGCCACACUGGAAUGGAGCCGCGGUCCAGACCCCUACGGGACGCAGCGGUAGAGAAUCUUACGCUAUGGGAGAAAGCAUAGCGUAGAACAGCCAAGUGAGGGGUAAGAAUACUCCGCUAUGAGUACUCUGCUGUUAGGAAAAAAGAAAUGUGUAAGUAACGAUGCACGUUUUGAAGGUACCUUAUGAAAAAGCACCGGCUAAUUACGUG